CGCGGCCUAUCAGCUUGUUGGCGAGGUAACGGCUCACCAAGGCGACGACGGGUAGCUGGUCUGAGAGGACGACCAGCCACACUGGAACUGAGAUACGGUCCAGACUCCUACGGGAGGCAGCAGUGGGGAAUAUUGCACAAUGGGCGAAAGCCUGAUGCAGCGACGCCGCGUGAGGGAUGAAGGCCUUCGGGUCGUAAACCUCUUUCGGCAGGGACGAAGCGAUCAGUGACGGUACCUGCAGAAGAAGCCCCGGCUAACUACGUGCCAGCAGCCGCGGUAAGACGUAGGGGGCGAGCGUUGUCCGGAUUCAUUGGGCGUAAAGCGCGCGUAGGCGGCUGCGCAAGUCGGUUGUGAAACCCCGGGGCUCAACCCCGGAACUGCAUCCGAUACUGCGUGGCUAGAGGUAGGUAGGGGAGAUCGGAAUUCCUGGUGUAGCGGUGAAAUGCGCAGAUAUCAGGAGGAACACCGGUGGCGAAGGCGGAUCUCUGGGCCUUACCUGACGCUCAGGCGCGAAAGCUAGGGGAGCGAACAGGAUUAGAUACCCUGGUAGUCCUAGCCGUAAACGUUGGGUGCUAGGUGUGGGCGGAUAUCGACCCCGUCCGUGCCGAAGCUAACGCAUUAAGCACCCCGCCUGGGGAGUACGG
RNAcentral lists this ribosomal RNA (644 nucleotides) under uncultured Actinomycetes bacterium. Its description in RNAcentral is "bacterial SSU rRNA". It matches the Rfam family "Bacterial small subunit ribosomal RNA", at positions 232 to 885 of the family's 1533-position model. The record is from RNAcentral. Lineage: Bacteria; Bacillati; Actinomycetota; Actinomycetes.